This 376-nucleotide ribosomal RNA is filed under the name uncultured Desulfobulbus sp. RNAcentral's name for it is "bacterial SSU rRNA". It matches the Rfam family "Bacterial small subunit ribosomal RNA", at positions 1011 to 1382 of the family's 1533-position model. Lineage: Bacteria; Pseudomonadati; Thermodesulfobacteriota; Desulfobulbia; Desulfobulbales; Desulfobulbaceae. The record is from RNAcentral.
GGCUUUCCAUCUGGAAGAAGUCUGGAGACAGGUGCUGCAUGGCUGUCGUCAGCUCGUGUCGUGAGAUGUUGGGUUAAGUCCCGCAACGAGCGCAACCCUUGCCUUUAGUUGCCAGCAGUUCGGCUGGGCACUCUAAAGGGACUGCCGGUGUUAAACCGGAGGAAGGUGGGGAUGACGUCAAGUCCUCAUGGCCUUUAUGACCAGGGCUACACACGUACUACAAUGGCCGAUACAAAGGGCAGCGACACUGCGAGGUGAAGCCAAUCCCGUAAAAAUCGGUCUCAGUCCGGAUUGGAGUCUGCAACUCGACUCCAUGAAGUUGGAAUCGCUAGUAAUCGUGGAUCAGCAUGCCACGGUGAAUACGUUCCCGGGCCUU